AGAGCUUGCUCUCAGGAAGUUAGCGGCGGACGGGUGAGUAACACGUGGGUAACCUGCCCAUAAGACUGGGAUAACUCCGGGAAACCGGGGCUAAUACCGGAUAACAUUUUGAACUGCAUGGUUCGAAAUUGAAAGGCGGCUUCGGCUGUCACUUAUGGAUGGACCCGCGUCGCAUUAGCUAGUUGGUGAGGUAACGGCUCACCAAGGCAACGAUGCGUAGCCGACCUGAGAGGGUGAUCGGCCACACUGGGACUGAGACACGCCCCAGACUCCUACGGGAGGCAGCAGUAGGGAAUCUUCCGCAAUGGACGAAAGUCUGACGGAGCAACGCCGCGUGAGUGAUGAAGGCUUUCGGGUCGUAAAACUCUGUUGUUAGGGAAGAACAAGUGCUAGUUGAAUAAGCUGCCACCUUGACGGUACCUAACCAGAAAGCC
RNAcentral lists this ribosomal RNA (434 nucleotides) under Bacillus sp. KF-8. RNAcentral's name for it is "bacterial SSU rRNA". It matches the Rfam family "Bacterial small subunit ribosomal RNA", at positions 75 to 492 of the family's 1533-position model. The record is from RNAcentral. Lineage: Bacteria; Bacillati; Bacillota; Bacilli; Caryophanales; Bacillaceae.